GCAUAUCAAUAAGCGGAGGAAAAGAAAAUAACAAUGAUUCCCCCAGUAACGGCGAGUGAACAGGGAAAAGCUCAAAGUUGGAAGCUCCUGGCCCUAGGCUAGGCGCAUUGUAAACUAAAGCUGUAAAGUAGUACGGUUGGCCUGGUAAAAAAGUUCCCUGGAAUGGGGCGACAUGGAGGGUGAAAUCCCCGUCUUUGGCCAGAGCUCAGCUGUGCGUUUGCUUUGCUGCGAAGAGUCAGGUUGUUUGGGAAUGCAGCCUAAAAUGGGAGGUAGACUUCUCCUAAAGCUAAAUAUUGACGAAAGACCGAUAGCGAACAAGUACCGUGAGGGAAAGAUGAAAAGCACUUUGAAAAGAGGGUCAAAAAGUACGUGAAAUUGCUAAAAGGGAACCGUAUGAAAUCAGCCUGAUGUGUGGGUAAUCAGCCUGGGCUUUGGCCUGGGUGCACUUGCCCAUGUAUUAGCCUGCGACAGUUUGACUUGGGGGAAAAAAGAUGGGGGAAUGUGGCCUCGGCUUCGGUUGAGGUGUUAUAGCCCCUGUCAAAAUACCUUGGGUUGGACUGAGGACUGCAGCGAGCCGUAAGGCAUGGGUCUCGGGCGCUCUGUCUCGGCGAAAAGUGAAUCUCUGCCUCGGGUGGUGCGCUUUUCGUCAGGGCAGACCCGUCUGUUUCUUCUUUCUCUCGCUUAGGUCGUAGGCAUAAUGAUUUUAUAUGACCCGUCUUGAAACACGGACCAAGGAGUCCACCAUAGUUGCGAGUCUUUGAGUGUAAAAACCCAUGGGCGUAAGGAAACUGACCAAGAUAUGAAGGCUUUGGCUGGCAAUAUCCUCCGGCGAGGACGUUUUAACUGAAUUGACCGAGAGAAAGCACCUAUGAUGGGACCCGAAAGAUGGUGAACUAUACUUGAAUAGGGUGAAGCCAGAGGAAACUCUGGUGGAAGCUCGUAGCGAUUCUGACGUGCAAAUCGAUCGUCAAAUUUGAGUAUAGGGGCGAAAGACUAAUCGAACCAUGCAGAGCCGUCCC
RNAcentral lists this ribosomal RNA (1019 nucleotides) under Absidia sympodialis. RNAcentral's name for it is "Absidia sp. TZ-2021g partial large subunit ribosomal RNA". It matches the Rfam family "Eukaryotic large subunit ribosomal RNA", at positions 38 to 958 of the family's 3401-position model. Lineage: Eukaryota; Fungi; Mucoromycota; Mucoromycetes; Mucorales; Cunninghamellaceae. The record is from RNAcentral.